Molecule: ribosomal RNA, 301 nt
Filed under: uncultured bacterium
Lineage: Bacteria
Description: partial 16S ribosomal RNA
Rfam family: Bacterial small subunit ribosomal RNA
Source: RNAcentral
CAGUAGCCACGGAAUACGGAGGGUGCAAGCGUUAAUCGGAAUUACUGGGCGUAAAGCGCACGCAGGCGGUCUGACAAGUCAGAUGUGAAAUCCCCGGGCUUAACCUGGGAACUGCAUUUGAAACUGUCAGGCUGGAGUCUUGUAGAGGGGGGUGGAAUUCCAGGUGUAGCGGUGAAAUGCGUAGAGAUCUGGAGGAAUACCGGUGGCGAAGGCGGCCCCCUGGACAAAGACUGACGCUCAGGUGCGAAAGCGUGGGGAGCAAACAGGAUUAGAUACCCCGGUAGUCCCUGUCUCUUAUACA